This 361-nucleotide unclassified non-coding RNA is filed under the name soil metagenome. Its description in RNAcentral is "partial contains 5.8S ribosomal RNA, internal transcribed spacer 2, and large subunit ribosomal RNA". The stretch from base 1 to 120 matches the Rfam family "5.8S ribosomal RNA", at positions 35 to 154 of the family's 154-position model. The record is from RNAcentral.
GAUGAAGAACGCAGCGAAAUGCGAUAAGUAAUGUGAAUUGCAGAAUUUAGUGAAUCAUCGAAUCUUUGAACGCAUAUUGCGCCCGCCAGCACUCUGGCGGGCAUGCCUGUUCGAGCGUCAUUUCAACCCUCAGGCCUCGCGUCUGGCGUUGGGGCGCUGCGGCCCUCCCGCAGGCCCCCAAAUUUAGCGGCGCAUUCCCCGCGGCCCUGAGCGCAGUAGAGAGUAAAAACUUUAACGCUCCGGCGGCCGUGGCGCGGUUCUGCCUCUUUCCCAAUAGCGCCAAUAGCGCCACCCCCAAAAAAGUUGACCUCGGAUCAGGUAGGACUACCCGCUGAACUUAAGCAUAUCAAUAAGCGGAGGA